Molecule: long non-coding RNA, 334 nt
Organism: Maylandia zebra (zebra mbuna)
Lineage: Eukaryota; Metazoa; Chordata; Actinopteri; Cichliformes; Cichlidae
Source: RefSeq, a predicted model, not a curated record
GAUGACUGAUAUAACCUCUGUGAUCAGUUUGAUAUCGGCCCUGUGCGACGAACCGGCUGUUUAUCUGACGGGCGCCGCGGACACCAUCCUCUAUCCCCGGAUGCUGUCCAUAUGGUUGGUUUUUGUAUGGACUGAAGUAAAGAAAGACUUUAUUGAGAAACAUCACAUCCUCUUUUCCUGUCUCCUCCUCCCUGAUCCUGGUUUUCUUCCCGGUUAAAGAGAUUUCUUCCUCUCUGCUGUCACCAGGCUCUAACCAACGGACUGCUGAUUAGACAAGGGGAACUGCUGUCAUCUUCAAGGAACAAUCAGCAACAGCCAUUUCUGUUGGAGCGUC